CCUUCGGGCCUCUCGCGUCAGGAUAUGCCUAGGUGGGAUUAGCUAGUUGGUGAGGUAAGGGCUCACCAAGGCGACGAUCCCUAGCUGGUCUGAGAGGAUGAUCAGCCACACUGGAACUGAGACACGGUCCAGACUCCUACGGGAGGCAGCAGUGGGGAAUAUUGCACAAUGGGCGCAAGCCUGAUGCAGCCAUGCCGCGUGUGUGAAGAAGGCCUUCGGGUUGUAAAGCACUUUCAGUCGUGAGGAAGGU
Molecule: ribosomal RNA, 250 nt
Filed under: Vibrio parahaemolyticus
Lineage: Bacteria; Pseudomonadati; Pseudomonadota; Gammaproteobacteria; Vibrionales; Vibrionaceae
Description: partial 16S ribosomal RNA
Rfam family: Bacterial small subunit ribosomal RNA
Source: RNAcentral